CGGCCGCGUCGACGGCUCAGAUUGAACGCUGGCGGCAUGCCUAACACAUGCAAGUCGAACGGUAACAGGCCUUCGGGCGCUGACGAGUGGCGGACGGGUGCGUAACGCGUGGGAAUCUGCCCAAUAGUGGGGGAUAACCCGGGGAAACUCGGGCUAAUACCGCAUACUCCCCAUGGGGGAAAGCGGGGGACCGCAAGGCCUCGCGCUAUUGGAUGAGCCCGCGUCCGAUUAGCUAGUUGGUGGGGUAAAGGCCUACCAAGGCGACGAUCGGUAGCUGGUCUGAGAGGACGACCAGCCACACUGGGACUGAGACACGGCCCAGACUCCUACGGGAGGCAGCAGUGGGGAAUAUUGGACAAUGGGGGAAACCCUGAUCCAGCAAUGCCGCGUGUGUGAAGAAGGCCUGCGGGUUGUAAAGCACGUUUCGGCGGGAAAGAAAGUCGCGCGUUAAUACCGUGCGGCCUUGACGUUACCCGCAAAAGAGCACCGGCUAACUCCGUGCCAGCAGCCGCGGUAAUACGGAGGUGCAAGCGUUAAUCGGAAUUACGUGGGCGUAAAGCGACCG
RNAcentral lists this ribosomal RNA (565 nucleotides) under uncultured Gammaproteobacteria bacterium. RNAcentral's name for it is "bacterial SSU rRNA". It matches the Rfam family "Bacterial small subunit ribosomal RNA", at positions 1 to 571 of the family's 1533-position model. The record is from RNAcentral. Lineage: Bacteria; Pseudomonadati; Pseudomonadota; Gammaproteobacteria.